CUAGAGAAGUCCGUCUAUAAUUUAUCUGAUGUAGAAGCUUAUCUGAAGAUUAUCCGCUGGAGAGGUCUGGUUACAUGAGGAAUCCGACAGAAGGUCGACCGAUAGUGAAAUUCAAAAGGUGCUAUAGAAGGUUGAUCGAUAGAAGAGUCCGGAAGGCAUUGUGGAAGUUCGUCCACUGGAGGAGUCUGAAGGACACUGUGGAAGGUCGACUGCUAGAGGGGUCUGGAGGGAAUUAUGGAAGCUCGGACGGUCGGGGGAGUUCAGAAAGAUGCCGCAUAAGGUCGGAAGCCAGAAGAGUCCU
RNAcentral lists this long non-coding RNA (301 nucleotides) under Elaeis guineensis (African oil palm). Its description in RNAcentral is "long non-coding RNA (EGUI_LNC073675)". The record is from RNAcentral. Lineage: Eukaryota; Viridiplantae; Streptophyta; Magnoliopsida; Arecales; Arecaceae.